RNAcentral lists this ribosomal RNA (375 nucleotides) under uncultured bacterium. RNAcentral's name for it is "bacterial SSU rRNA". It matches the Rfam family "Bacterial small subunit ribosomal RNA", at positions 1133 to 1506 of the family's 1533-position model. The record is from RNAcentral.
UCACUCUAAGGNCGGACUGCCGUUGACAAAACGGAGGAAGGUGGGGACGACGUCAAAUCAUCAUGCCCCUUAUGUCCUGGGCCACACACGUACUACAAUGGUGGUUAACAGAGGGAGGCAAGACCGCGAGGUGGAGCAAAUCCCUAAAAGCCAUCCCAGUUCGGAUUGCAGGCUGCAACCCGCCUGNAUGAAGUUGGAAUCGCUAGUAAUCGCGGAUCAGCAUGCCGCGGUGAAUACGUUCCCGGGCCUUGUACACACCGCCCGUCACACCAUGAGAGUCGGGAACACCCGAAGUCCGUAGCCUAACCGCAAGGGGGGCGCGGCCGAAGGUGGGUUCGAUAAUUGGGGUGAAGUCGUAAAGGGNUUAACCGUAAA